AUGGAGCCCUUUACCCCAUGGUUGGGGCCUGUAUCCUCUCUCUCUCUGGAGAACCAGGUGUUGAUAACAAGAUUCAGAGCCCAGCACCUUGGACUCCCAGUCUUCGACCACCCUGUUCCUCUCCUCCGAGGAGCCAGGCCCCUCCACCGCUGCACUGCCGUCCCCCUCGUCGUCCUGCGAGCCCUCGGCGUUCUCCCCGGGGCCCCCGGCGCUGCCCCACCUGCUGCCUUCGCUGCCCACCGCGCCCGCACCCCCGGCCUCGGGUUCGGGCGCCCCGAGGCGCGCCGGCCUCUACUCGGUGGUUGCCUCGUCCCCGGAGGCAGCCUCGCGCCUCCUGGACUGGCUCCCCGGCGGCCCCUCUGCCACCCCGCCCGGCGCCCGCGGGGAUGAGCGCGAUCGGCCCGGGCUCCGCGCCCCGCGCCCUGGCGCAGCGGGCAGGGAGGAGGGCACUGAGGACCUGGGCGCCUCCCCGCAGCACUGCGCCCGGCCUGCCGCCUCCGCCAGUUUGGAAGCCAAUGUUGGGGACAUCCUGGUGGAGCUGAGGACAAUGAACAGUCACCUGGACGUCAUCGCGAGGGCCCUCACCAAAUUGGCCUCGUCCCUGGGGCCGCAGCCGCAGACCCCGCCGGAUGCCCCAGAUGCCAAGUGAUGGGGCCGCCCCGCGACUGUGCAUCUGAGCCGCGCCCAGUAAAGGGACCCGAACGCACCAGGCAUCGCUGCCUGAGUCACCUUUGAGCCCAGCAAACCCAGCGGAGGGCAGGAUUACUCUGCUCAACCUGCUUACUGGAAGGCAUGGCCCUCCCCUGGCAUUUCAACCUGAAAUGAUGGUGCUUCUCACACUCUCAGCCUUAUGAGGCUUUCUCUCACGCCCAGCCGGCUCCUCGGAGCUCUCCUGGCCCUUCACAUGUCCUUCUCUUGUUUUGGUAAAGGCUUUGAGCUCCUGGCAGGACAAGUGCCCUAAGACAGUGGUGGGACCCUGGGAAAGGCUCAGAGAACCAUCCCUUCCCAUCCCCAUUGGCAACUUCUGAGAAUUGUGGAAGAAAGGCAAGUGCCCAGCACAUUACAUAAGCAGUAGUUCAAGGGCAGAUCCAAUGUUCUUCUCUUGAGUUGCUGAUGCUGUAUCUGACCGCUGGUGAUUUUUUCACAUUAAAAAAAAUUAUUUUGGGAAAAAUAAGUUUACUUUUUUCUCAUAAUAACCACAUUUUGAGAGGUUUGGAAAACAGAGAAGUGAGAAAAAUCUGAUGUAUUUGGAGAAGGGG
This 1259-nucleotide long non-coding RNA is filed under the name Moschus moschiferus (Siberian musk deer). Its description in RNAcentral is "lncRNA (ENSMMSG00000008747.1)". Lineage: Eukaryota; Metazoa; Chordata; Mammalia; Artiodactyla; Moschidae. The record is from RNAcentral.